UACAGAGGUCCCAAGCGUUGUUCGGAUUCACUGGGCGUAAAGGGUGCGUAGGUGGUGGAUUAAGUCGGGUGUGAAAUCUCCGGGCUCAACCCGGAGGGUGCGCCCGAAACUGAUCCGCUAGAGGGUGGGAGGGGAGACUGGAAUUCUCGGUGUAGCAGUGAAAUGCGUAGAUAUCGAGAGGAACACCGGUGGCGAAGGCGAGUCUCUGGACCACUCCUGACACUGAGGCACGAAAGCCGGGGGAG
RNAcentral lists this ribosomal RNA (245 nucleotides) under uncultured bacterium. RNAcentral's name for it is "partial 16S ribosomal RNA". It matches the Rfam family "Bacterial small subunit ribosomal RNA", at positions 524 to 768 of the family's 1533-position model. The record is from RNAcentral.